This 1290-nucleotide ribosomal RNA is filed under the name metagenome. RNAcentral describes it as "bacterial SSU rRNA". It matches the Rfam family "Bacterial small subunit ribosomal RNA", at positions 243 to 1520 of the family's 1533-position model. The record is from RNAcentral.
AGCUUGUUGGUGGGGUAAUGGCCUACCAAGGCGACGAUGGUUAGCUGGUCUGAGAGGAUGAUCAGCCACACUGGAACUGAAACACGGUCCAGACUCCUACGGGAGGCAGCAGUGAGGAAUUUUGCGCAAUGGGGGAAACCCUGACGCAGCAACGCCGCGUGAGUGAAGAAGGCUUUCGGGUCGUAAAGCUCUGUCAAGUGGGAAAAAAUCCUUAUGAUGAAUAGUCAUAAGGCCUGAUGGUACCACUGAAGGAAGCACCGGCUAACUCCGUGCCAGCAGCCGCGGUAAUACGGAGGGUGCAAGCGUUGAUCGGAAUUAUUGGGCGUAAAGAGCGUGUAGGCGGUAUGGUAAGUCAGAUGUGAAAGCCCUGGGCUCAACCCAGGAAGUGCAUUUGAUACUGCCAUUCUUGGGUAUGGGAGAGGAGAGUGGAAUUCCCAGUGUAGAGGUGAAAUUCGUAGAUAUUGGGAGGAACACCCGUGGCGAAGGCGGCUCUCUGGACCAAUACUGACGCUGAGACGCGAAAGCGUGGGGAGCAAACAGGAUUAGAUACCCUGGUAGUCCACGCCGUAAACGAUGAGAACUAGGUGUAGCGGGUAUUGACCCCUGCUGUGCCGAAGUUAACGCAUUAAGUUCUCCGCCUGGGGAGUACGGCCGCAAGGCUAAAACUCAAAGGAAUUGACGGGGACCCGCACAAGCGGUGGAGCAUGUGGUUUAAUUCGACGCAACGCGAAGAACCUUACCUGGAUUUGACAUCCUCUGACAACCCUAGAAAUAGGGCCUUUUCGACCUGUCGAAACAGAGUGACAGGUGCUGCAUGGCUGUCGUCAGCUCGUGUCGUGAGAUGUUGGGUUAAGUCCCGCAACGAGCGCAACCCUUGUUUUUAGUUGCCAGUAUUAAGUUAGGCACUCUAAAGAUACUGCCUCGGUUAACGGGGAGGAAGGUGGGGAUGACGUCAAGUCCUCAUGGCCUUUAUAUCCAGGGCUACACACGUGCUACAAUGGGCUGUACAAAGGGUCGCGACACCGCGAGGUGAAGCUAAUCUCAAAAAGCAGCUCUCAGUUCGGAUUGGAGUCUGCAACUCGACUCCAUGAAGUUGGAAUCGCUAGUAAUCGUGGAUCAGCAUGCCACGGUGAAUACGUUCCCGGGUCUUGUACACACCGCCCGUCACACCACGAAAGUCGGCUGUACCAGAAGUUGCUGGGCUAACCCUUCGGGGAGGCAGGUACCUAAGGUACGGUCGGUAAUUGGGGUGAAGUCGAAACAAGGUAGCCGUAGGGGAACCUGUGGCUG